RNAcentral lists this long non-coding RNA (454 nucleotides) under Pan troglodytes (chimpanzee). RNAcentral describes it as "lincRNA". Lineage: Eukaryota; Metazoa; Chordata; Mammalia; Primates; Hominidae. RNAcentral also lists the same sequence under 1 other name. The record is from RNAcentral.
GAGAGUGGAAGUCAAGUCCCACAGGUGACCCAGCUAGAGAGAGUGUCCCCAGUCACAAUUGGAGUCUUAUGUAAGAAGAAAUAAGGAAAGCCUACUGGGUUGAAUCUAAAAGUAGAAAACUCAUAACAAGGCUAUGUGUGAACAUCAAGAGAGAAUUCAAGAUGGCGGGGAUGACACUCUUUAGUCCAUGUGUGCCUGGUUUUCAUCAUCUCCUUGACUUACACACAUGUGGGUGCCUUUACCUCUGAAGACUUUUUCUCUUCUAACUGAUGAUGCUCCAUUCUCUUCUGACAAAAGCUCCCUGCCAAGGCCUGAUUGAACCUCUGCCCUGUGGUUCCUUGAAACAUCGUCAUAUUCUUGUACUAAAUUCCCCAUUUUCUUAAGCUAGCUCUGGUAAGUUUUUGCCAUUUACAGUCAAAGUGAACUCACUAAUAAAAUAUUCCCAACUGCAUAA